Molecule: ribosomal RNA, 468 nt
Filed under: uncultured bacterium
Lineage: Bacteria
Description: partial 16S ribosomal RNA
Rfam family: Bacterial small subunit ribosomal RNA
Source: RNAcentral
GACGAACGCUGGCGGCGUGCUUAACACAUGCAAGUCGAACGGAAAGGCCCUGCUUUUGUGGGGUGCUCGAGUGGCGAACGGGUGAGUAACACGUGAGUAACCUGCCCUUGACUUUGGGAUAACUUCAGGAAACUGGGGCUAAUACCGGAUAGGAGCUCCUGCUGCAUGGGGGGGGUUGGAAAGUUUCGGCGGUUGGGGAUGGACUCGCGGCUUAUCAGCUUGUUGGUGGGGUAGUGGCUUACCAAGGGUUUGACGGGUAGCCGGCCUGAGAGGGUGACCGGCCACAUUGGGACUGAGAUACGGCCCAGACUCCUACGGGAGGCAGCAGUGGGGAAUAUUGCACAAUGGGCGGAAGCCAGAUGCAGCAACGCCGCGUGCGUGAUGACGGCCUUCGGGUUGUAAACCGCUUUCGCCUGUGACGAAGCGUGAGUGACGGUAAUGGGUAAAGAAGCACCGGCUAACUACGUG